AAAAUUUAAAAUAAAAAUACUAAAAUAGUAGAUAAAUAUUUAUUGAAACUUAAAUGAUUUGGCGGUAUCUUAGUUCAUUUAGAGGAAUCUGUUUAAUAAUUGAUAUUCCACGAAUGAAUUUACUUAAUUUAUAAUUUUGUAUAUCGUUGUUAUAAAAAUAUUUUUUAAUGAGAUUAAUAUUUAAAAAUUAGUAUUAAAAUUUAAAUCAGAUCAAGAUGCAGAUUAUAAUUAAGAAUAUAAUGGAUUACAAUAAAUUUAUUUAAAUGAAUUUUAAUUUGUAAAAAUUAAUUGAAGGUGGAUUUAAAUGUAAUUUUAUUUAAUUUAGUAAAAUGAUUAAAAAUUAAGAUAUGU
RNAcentral lists this ribosomal RNA (351 nucleotides) under Sesamia sp. SEKEG4843. Its description in RNAcentral is "partial 12S small subunit ribosomal RNA". RNAcentral also lists the same sequence under 2 other names. The record is from RNAcentral. Lineage: Eukaryota; Metazoa; Arthropoda; Insecta; Lepidoptera; Noctuidae.